AGGAGCUGCCACAGUGUUCCCAGGAUAGGAGCCACCUUUGCAGAGAGAAUGACUCAUUCAUUAUUCUGAAAGAUUAAGUACCAAAUACCUCAUUAGAGAAACUGCAAACUGAAAAACAGAUAACAGCUGGAGAAUAGGAAAAAAGUCAUUUGUACAUGAGGAAGUAGUGAGGCAAAUCUAAAACUUCAGACAUUGGAUCAAAGCCUAUUCACCAUUCAUGGGGGAGAAUAUUAUGAGAAGAGUUAAUUUUCAUUGCAUUCACGAUUUUUAUCCAAACAUACUAUGAAAUCUCUAAAGAAACUGGAUCGCCAAGGUCAAGAAGCCCAACUUGAGAUAAAUGAUCCAAGACAAGUUAUACAGUCUGAGUACAAGGAAGAGAAGAGGAAUGCAUGGAGAUUAGGCACUUGGAGAAGAAAAAAAUAAAGAUUCAAUUUGACUAGAGUCUCCCCCUAAAUUUAGAUGGGCAAUUUCAACUUAAAUUUCAUGAGGUUAGAGGGCAAGAUAUACCAAAGAAACACAGACCUGACACAAGAUUAAUGACUUCACUCAUCAGAAUUAACUCACAUCUAGUUAAGAUAGCAAGAGGAGAAAAAGCUAAGACAAUGUGUGAGAAGCAAUGUAUCUGGAGAUAAAAAAAAUUUGAAGUAAUUAUCCACAUCUGUGAACUAAAAUGUACUCCAAUAAGAUAAAAGUGUGAAAUCCCAGUUUAGCAAUGAGCAUAAUAGUUUUUAUACAAGAACAGCCAAUACUGAAGCACCUUCCUGAGGCUUAUGGUGUCCUGAAAAAAAAAAAAAAGUAAUUGCAGAAAAUGCACUCAACUUUAA
Fukomys damarensis (Damara mole-rat) is the source of this 824-nucleotide long non-coding RNA. RefSeq lists it as uncharacterized. The record is from RefSeq and is a predicted model, not a curated record. The transcript is spliced from 4 exons. NCBI's taxonomy places the organism in Eukaryota, Metazoa, Chordata, Mammalia, Rodentia, Bathyergidae.